RNAcentral lists this ribosomal RNA (774 nucleotides) under uncultured Neocallimastigales. RNAcentral's name for it is "partial large subunit ribosomal RNA". It matches the Rfam family "Eukaryotic large subunit ribosomal RNA", at positions 26 to 629 of the family's 3401-position model. Lineage: Eukaryota; Fungi; Neocallimastigomycota; Neocallimastigomycetes; Neocallimastigales. The record is from RNAcentral.
CGCAUCUGUGCAUGCAGCAUAUCAAUAAGCGGAGGAAAAGAAACUAACAAGGAUUCCCUUAGUAACGGCGAGUGAAGCGGGAAGAGCUCAAAUUUGAAAUCUUCAAGGUUUUACCUUGACGAAUUGUAGUUUAAAGAAGUGUUUUCUGUUGAAGUUUUGGUAAAAGUUCUUUGGAAUAGGACAUCAUAGAGGGUGAGAAUCCCGCAUUUGACCAUUAUUUUCAGCUGUGUGAUACACUUUCAAAGAGUCGGAUUGUUUGGGAAUGCAGUCCAAAAUGGGUGGUAAAUUUCAUCUAAAGCUAAAUAUUGGCGAGAGACCGAUAGCGAACAAGUACCGUGAGGGAAAGAUGAAAAGAACUUUGAAAAGAGAGUUAAACAGUACGUGAAAUUGUCAAAAGGGAAGCGUUUGACACCAGUGUUGUUUUCUCGAAAAUCAAUUAAAAAGAGUUAGAUUUUGUUGUGUAUUGACCUUAACAGCUUGCAUUUCAAUUUUCUUGCUUUUUUUAAUGCACUUUUCGUUUAACAAGUCAACAUCAGUUUCUUUUGUUGUAAAAAGGUCAUUGGAAGGUGGCUUUCUUUUCGGAGAAAGUGUUUAUAGCCUUUGACUCCUGCAAUCGGAGAGACUGAGGUCUGCAGCGUAGAUCCUUCGGGGUUAGAUACAUUUGUGCUAAGUUAUAGCUUUUUAUAGACAACUUGUUGACUAUGAUUAGUCUUGUAGCUUACUCGCUUAUGCUAUUUUACCUACGCUUAGGAUGUUGAUGUGAUACUGCGAGCA